UGAAAUUAUAAUGAAACGGAUAUUUCUACCCCAAAGAGCGAAGCAUAAAAACCACACCGCAAAAUGAUAAUAUGAAACAUAUUCGAGACUGUUUCGAAAGCUGGACGAGUCCAUUAUAUUUAGACGCAUGUGAUGAUGAUGAUACAGCUACCUAGCGGUGUAUACAAGACAGUUGGGGCUCGCUGGAGGAAUGCACAGGCGCCUAUUUCUCGGAUCAAGUUGGUGUAAACUCACUAUAAUUAUGGUAACGCUCUGAUAAUACAUCAAUAACAUGUGAAUCCCGUGUUUACCAACUUGGACCUGUACUUCUCCAGAUGGUUUUCGUAUCACACGGUUGUCUUUUUAUAGCCAAUGAUCGACAAAGCAUCUGUUUGAAACAAUUUUUUUGAAUAUGUCGUCUGCAGCUGCAACUAUCGUGUAAUCUAUGCAGAGUGGAGUAACCCGUACCUAUAACAGAUCAGAAUUUUGAGCCAAGACCGACCUACACUAGGACAAUGUCAGCACCCUGCUGCAAGGUGGUAUGAAGCUUAUUGAUAAGAUGGCAAGUUGCAGUGUUACUCUGGAGCAAAACCAUCCAAGAAGCCCUUGCAUUAUAAUCUCAAAAGCAUCAAACAAGCCAUCUUCUCCUCUGCAUCACAUCUGUGAGCAGCCUCAUUUUGUUCCGCCCGAUGAGAGUAGGAGAGAGACGAUAGAAACCAUGGUUUGUCAGAAGACAGAAUCUGAUCAGCUUCUUGAUACAAUCCCGGAAGAAACUACUGAGCCAUCCCCAGCCAGGGAAGGGAAUGAUAACCAGAGUCUUGUCACCUCAGAGGCUGUCGUUUGUACUAAAACAGAAUCAGAUCACCUUCUUGAACCACUACCAGAAGGUAUUGCAGAUGUAAGUCAUCUUUUCCUUUACUUUCUUUACUGUAAUAUAGUUGUUCACUCUUUGACUCAAGAUAUUUGUUACCAUGCUAAAGGAUUAUUAUCUUUUCUCUGAUAUACAUCUCUCUCUGGAGUAAUAGAUGAUAAUUCAACUGUUUGGAAACAGAAUGGUGUUUACUCAUAUAUCUACACAAAGAAUGAAUAAUGCCAUUCUGGCUCUGAACGAAAAGAGGUAUCAAUUUUUUAUCAAUGUAAAGAGGUUAAGAUUGGUCAA
Molecule: long non-coding RNA, 1138 nt
Organism: Strongylocentrotus purpuratus (purple sea urchin)
Lineage: Eukaryota; Metazoa; Echinodermata; Echinoidea; Camarodonta; Strongylocentrotidae
Exons: 4
Source: RefSeq, a predicted model, not a curated record